RNAcentral lists this long non-coding RNA (437 nucleotides) under Lathyrus oleraceus (garden pea). RNAcentral describes it as "Pisum sativum (pea) long non-coding RNA (PSAT_LNC041689)". The record is from RNAcentral. Lineage: Eukaryota; Viridiplantae; Streptophyta; Magnoliopsida; Fabales; Fabaceae.
AAACCCAUGAAAGUUGAUUGAAUUGUGAAAAUGAUGAAAUUGUUGUUGUUAUAUUCAUGAAAAUUGGUUAAAAAGUGCGCAUGAUGAAAUUGUUGUUGUUAAACCCAUGAAAUUUGAUUGAAUUGUGGGAAUGAUGAAAAUUUUGCUAUUAAAACCAUGAAAUUUUAUUGAAUUGUGUGAAUAAUGAAUAUGUUGUUGUUAAACUCAUGGAAUUUGAUUGAAUUGUGGAAUUGAUGAAAAUGUUGCUCUUAAAACCAUAAAAUUUGAUUGAAUUGAGUGAAUGAUGAAAACGCUGCUAUUAAACCCAUGGAAUUUGAUUGAAUUGUGGCAAUGAUGAAAAUGUUGACGUUAAACCCAUGUAAUUUUAUUGAAUUGUGUGAAUGAUGAAGCUUUUGUUGUUAAACCUAUGAAAUUUGAUUGAAUUGUGUGAAUGAUGA